This is an unclassified non-coding RNA of Papio anubis (olive baboon), 148 nucleotides long. It matches the Rfam family "Metazoan signal recognition particle RNA". Rfam says of the family: The signal recognition particle (SRP) is a universally conserved ribonucleoprotein. It is involved in the co-translational targeting of proteins to membranes. The eukaryotic SRP consists of a 300-nucleotide 7S RNA and six proteins: SRPs 72, 68, 54, 19, 14, and 9. The record is from Ensembl. NCBI's taxonomy places the organism in Eukaryota, Metazoa, Chordata, Mammalia, Primates, Cercopithecidae.
GCCGGGUGUGGUGGCGCGCACCUGUAAUUCCUGCUACUCAGGAGGCUGAGGCGGGAGAAUUGCUUGAACCUGGGAGACGGAGGUUGCAGUGAGCCGAGAUCAUGCCACUGCACUCCAGCCUGGGUGACAGAGCAAUACUCCGUCCCGA